CCGCGCUGGAGGCCAUGGCUGGGGAGGCGGCAGGGUCAGGCCACCGGCCCCGGUCCCCCCUGCCCCAUGGUCACCGCUGGCCUCUGCCCUCCUCCCCAGGGCCCAGCCACCUCCCCUGAACGGCAUGACCCCAGGGCUGGGGCGCCCGAGGACACCCCGAAUUGUGGGAUGGGCACAGGGCUGGUGCAAGGGACACGUGUGUGAGACUGUGGGGACAUGUCUCUACACACGUGCGCACAGUUGUGACUAUGUGGACACGUGCGUAGGAGCAGGCAGAUGUGUAGGUAGGUGGCUGUGACCAUGCUGACACAUGUGUGUGUGGGGCCACGUGCAUGUGUGCAUACCUGCAAGCGUGUUGACCAUGUGCCGGUGCACGGCCAUGCAGCUGCGUGCUUGUGGGCAUAUCUGGACAGACGUACCCACGUAUUUGUGAGUGUGCGAGCGCAUCCAGGCAAGCCCAGGUCUCCGCAUGUGCACGUGUGGGAGGCAGAGCACGUAUAUGGCCGGGCACACAUGUGCAUGCACAGACUUGGGGGCCCAGGGGUAGCUCUGCUGAAGCUGGGUCCCUCCCUCUGCCCCCUUCCAGUGGCUGAAACUCCCAAUCCCUAUGUUUUUUCCCCCAAGAGAACUGCAAAGCCAGGGCUGACCCUCCCCACGGGCACACACUUGCCCCGGCACCCCUGGAACAGGAGGACGAGGGGCACCCAGGCCUGGGUGCUGCUCAGCUUCCCCAACAGACCCAUCCGCCACGCGCGACGUGCUCGGGAAGAUCAGGUUAAUCAUUUUGGGUGGUUAACAUGGUGGGGGCAGGGGCAGCUACUGUUGGCCGGCCCCGAGAAGGGGACUCAGCCCUGGUCUACCAGGAACGCGCCAGUUAUCAGGGACGGUUUGAUACCCCAGACCCAACCAGCUGGCCAACGGACCAGGUGACCAACCAGCUGGCUGACCAACUGGCCAACUAGUUGACCAACCCCACCCAACUAGUCAACCAGCCGAAUCAAUCAACUGACCAACCAACAGACCAAAUGGCCAAUCAGCCAGCCAGCCAAUUGAUUGACUAACUGACUGACCAAUCAACCAACCUACUGACCGACUGACCGACCAACCAACCGCCCAACUGACUGAUCGAAUGACCAACCGGCCACCCAAUCAAUUAUCAAACUACCACCCAACCACCCAAUCCACCACCCCUCUGAGCCUCCCAACCUAUUGACCACCCACCCAAAGAGCCCUUCAAGCCCAGUUUGGGAACAUGACAUUUGCCCAGCCGUCCCCAGGACGGGGGUUCAUCGCUCCUCGUCACGCUCGCUCUCUCCUGCCAGCAAGCCCCAUCGGCCCCGGGGCUGACGGAGCGGCUCGAGUGCCCAGCGGUGAGUGCUGGCAGCCAGGACCUACCUGUGCUAGAUCCCAGCUCUAGCGGAGCAGGGUCUGUGGGUCCGUCCCGUCCUUCGAACCCCCUUGGCACGCAGAGGGAGCGGGCCGGACACCGAAGCCAGCCUCCUCCUCCUCCGCGGUGCCCUGACCCAAGUGGCAAAGUUUAAACUCCAACCACACAGAAAUAGCAUCAAGGAUUGCAAAAUCACCCGGGCCCUGAUUGGGGAUCAGCGCUGAGUGAUGGCCGGGCUGCCAGGAAGGACCUGCGCCGCUCCGUAAUUCAUUAGCUAAAUGUUUUUGUCCUCCUCCGCUAAGGGGGGGCAGGAGGGGCCAGGGCUGGUGGGGAAAAGCCCCGGCUGCCGCAGCUGCCAAUGAACUUUCACCCAUUUCGGGCCCAAUUUCCCUUUUUUUAGAUCAGCGUAUCAGCAUUAAUUGCGUUAUAUAGGUGUUGAGAACAACAUCCGGGGAAAAUGUUGACUUGGACUCUGCUACUUAUCUUGUGCUCAACAAAUGUUGACCCCUUCUGGUCCCGGGGACCAGGGUGAGAGCUGCUGGG
This 1930-nucleotide long non-coding RNA is filed under the name Struthio camelus australis. RNAcentral describes it as "lncRNA (ENSSCUG00000014970.1)". Lineage: Eukaryota; Metazoa; Chordata; Aves; Struthioniformes; Struthionidae. The record is from RNAcentral.